Long non-coding RNA from Agrilus planipennis (emerald ash borer), 1298 nucleotides. RefSeq lists it as uncharacterized. The record is from RefSeq and is a predicted model, not a curated record. Lineage: Eukaryota; Metazoa; Arthropoda; Insecta; Coleoptera; Buprestidae. The transcript has 3 exons.
GAUGAAUCAAGGAAAACUAUACGACCUACCGCAUCUGCCAAAAUCAAGAAUGAAGUAGGAGAGCACAUACAAAACAAUAAAAGAGUAGGUCAUUUUGUACUUUACCAUUACCACCCUUUUUGACUUCUUUGGAAACGGAGUUUCAAAACCUAGCUCCUUGGUGAACCGCUGCAGUACUCUAGGAAUAUCUCUUCCAAACCUCUCUAGCUCUGAGGAAGUUUACAUCUUAAGGCGAAACGUUGGAGAGUAGAUUGUAAAAUUUAAUUAAAAGAACCUUCGCCCCAAAUUUGGUUGUUCUUUUUAAAUAUUGAUACCCUUGAGGAAUUACUAACCAACAUAGCUGGUACGUAUCCUUGGUAUGCAUAUAUUUGAUCAGUAUUCUAAAUUUCACAAUGUACCAUUCAAGAAAAUUGGAAGUGUGACCCAUAAAAUAAACAAUUACCGUAAUGUUUAUUUAUUCCUCCUUCAAAUAUUUUCCCAUUUAAUAAAUAAUAAAUCGCUAAGUAAGUAGCUACUAAUUAAUUAUUUUCUUGCAGGGAAAAAUACAACAUAGGAAUAAGGUAUGUAUGUAUGUAUACCUAUAUGUAUUAUAAAUCAUUUGAAAGUAUCAUACGUGCACUUUUUCCUGAACGCCUAAUUAAUUUAAUCGCUAGUUAAUUGCAAAAUGUGUUGCACUGUACAUUUCACUCACACGUUUUUCAUUCAUUUGCCAGUUAGACGUAUUAUCGCACAGAUUUUAAUUAUUUAUGUGCAAUGUUUGAUUUUUAUUAUAAAAGGUCAGGGUCGUGAUUAAGGCAUAAUAAAACAUCGAGUUGUACAAAGGCUCUUGCAUGUUCUAACCUGACAUGCUAAUAGUAAGCAAUAUACUGUUGCUAGUGACUAAUCAAACAUUGUUAUGCAUGUAUCAUUUAAAUAAAACAUCAGCUAGUAUAGACUUGCGCCUAACAAUGAGAUUUAUGCAGGUAGGUGUUGUAUUGAAGAAUCUUUGAAAGAAUAAAAUAAGAAUAGGUUGGAAUGUGCAAUCAACGUCUAAUCAUAAACGAAAGUAAACAGUAUGCACAGUUGAUACCCGUUCCGGUAAUAUGAAACUAUUAAAAAACAAUUUUUGGAUGGUAAAACUACCCAACGAUAAAUGUAAAAACAAUUGGUAACCGUGUGUAUAUUAUAUCAAUUUGGUGAGAUUUUAGGGGUUGAUUAUAGCAUCUCGGGUACGCAAUAUCCCAGUAUUUUUUUUCCAGCUUGAAAUUUGCCGUAAAUUGUGUAAUGAUCAAUUUUAAUCAAACAUAAUGUAAAUAAGU